Long non-coding RNA from Cucurbita maxima (winter squash), 1542 nucleotides. RefSeq lists it as uncharacterized. Lineage: Eukaryota; Viridiplantae; Streptophyta; Magnoliopsida; Cucurbitales; Cucurbitaceae. The transcript has 3 exons. The record is from RefSeq and is a predicted model, not a curated record.
GUUAUUAGUUGCUUGCUGGACCUGGAGAGGAAGGGAUCUCUCAUUAGGAGAAAUGGAUCUCUUUCAGACAGGUGGCAGUAAAGCGAUUAAUAUCAACUGACAGAGAAUUAAGACAUGAAGGAAGACGUUUGGUAAGUUCAGUAAAAGCUCUUUCCAGUCCAUGAUAGGUUUCUUACUAAACUAUGAGGUCACCUUUUGCAGCAAACAAUGUGUUCUUUUUAAGCUAGAGAACAAAAUUUUCCAUUGUGAGAUCAUAAAAAUGAUAUCACUACUGCUGUUCAGGUAACUUGGCCAUAUACAAUCCCAUCUUAAAAAGCAGCAGAUGCUUUUUAAGCCAUGAAAAAAGCUUCACGUCCCUUCUUUUCAUUGAAAGAUCAACAUCAUUCAAAGUGAAUGAUGUUCACUAAACAUCUGAGGAGGUCCUCGACUGGUCCCUCCUACCCCAACAAAAUGCAUCAUUUUUGUAGCUAAUUCUCUGCAGAAUGCUUCCAUAGCUUAUCUUUCCCCAUUUUUUUUCUCUUUAUCCUUUCAUUUCGAGAUUAAAAGGCUUGAUUGAUGUUCAUAUUCUGUGCAUCUUUAUCACAACAAUCACGGUUCCCUUCACAAAGCAUCCUCCAAUCUCUUCAAUCCUCUCCUAGCUAGUUGCUUUAGGACAGGUUCAAUUGUGGGGUUUCAUUUUUAUAUUAAUAACAUCGUGACAGAACAUGUCAGACAGAAAUAGAAAUUAAACAGAGAGUUUCUACAAGGUUCUGAUGGCGAUUUGGAGGACAAUGACAGGUAUUGUGUAAUGCACAACAAGAGAAAGAAGAUAAAACCAGGCCUGUUUGCUCUCUUCUUACAUUAGAACAAAGGCUUUGUCCUCCACACAAAGUUUAUGUAGUAAAGAGGACAUCUUGGGACGGUUGAAAAGUCACUGUGCUCUAAAAGUGAUUAUAAAUGUUGCAGAAAUUUUUUUGUAUUUUCUGUUAGCAGGAGAGAACUUGUACCUGGAUCCCAGUACAUGGUAAUUUCAAGUGUACAGCAAUGUCAUUUUCCAGACAGUUGAAAAAUUGUGGUAAGAAAACAACUAUUCAAAUAGAGCAUUGAGUACUAUUUAUCCUAUCUGGUUAUUCAGUGUUUGCUUGGAUACCAAAAACCUUAUCUGCAUUUCGAUUGAUUCCCAUUCAUUGGCUGUUCUAAUAUCCAUCUAUCCUAUUCUAUGCCUAUGGAGACACCAUUUCAGCUUGUAUUAUUACAUUCAUGUGGGUUUAUCUGCAAAUGGGAAUGCCAAGAAGAGGUCCCUUUCCCCACCCUUUUCCUCAUUUAAGCUGUUUCUUUGGAGAGAUCUCUAGAAUUCUCUGUUCUGCUAAGAUAUUGGGGUUUUCAAGCUUCAAUUUUUAUUUUUUUAUUUUUUUUAUUUUUUUUUAAAUUUAUUUUCUAUCAGGAAACAACAAAGGACAGGGAAAAUGCUGGGAGGUGUGUCAGCUUUUCAUUCACUCAAUUUACUCAUCCUUAGAUUCCUCUAUAUCUUUCCACAUGUUGAGUUGUUUUGUAUGCCAAAAA